UAGAGUUUGAUCCUGGCUCAGGAUGAACGCUAGCGACAGGCUUAACACAUGCAAGUCGAGGGGCAGCGGGGUAGGAAGCUUGCUUUCUGCCGCCGGCGACCGGCGCACGGGUGAGUAACACGUAUGCAACCUGGCCGUGACAGAUGGAUAACCGGGAGAAAUCCCGCCUAAUACAACAUAAUGCCGGGAGGGGACAUCCCCUGCCGGCCAAAGGGGGCGACCCCGGUCAUGGAUGGGCAUGCGGCGCAUUAGGUAGUUGGUGGGGCAACGGCCCACCAAGCCGACGAUGCGUAGGGGUUCUGAGAGGAAGGUCCCCCACAUUGGAACUGAGACGCGGUCCAAACUCCUACGGGAGGCAGCAGUGAGGAAUAUUGGUCAAUGGCCGGAAGGCUGAACCAGCCAAGUCGCGUGAGGGAAUAAGGCCCUACGGGUCGUAAACCUCUUUUGCCAGGGAGCAAUGCCGUCCACGUGUGGACGGAAGGAGAGUACCUGGAGAAAAAGCAUCGGCUAACUCCGUGCCAGCAGCCGCGGUAAUACGGAGGAUGCGAGCGUUAUCCGGAUUUAUUGGGUUUAAAGGGUGCGUAGGCGGCCUGCCAAGUCAGCGGUAAAAUUGCGGGGCUCAACCCCGUACAGCCGUUGAAACUGCCGGGCUCGAGUGGGCGAGAAGUAUGCGGAAUGCGUGGUGUAGCGGUGAAAUGCAUAGAUAUCACGCAGAACCC
Molecule: ribosomal RNA, 719 nt
Filed under: uncultured bacterium
Lineage: Bacteria
Description: bacterial SSU rRNA
Rfam family: Bacterial small subunit ribosomal RNA
Source: RNAcentral